GUGUGAUGAGUGACAUUCUGGUCACCAUAUUGAAUGUGCUUGAAAUAGAAGUGUACACCACAUUGAAGACAUUACUGGUGAAAAUAGAAACAUAUCACAAAUCCAGUACCGUGCCAGAAUGACUACAGGAUUGCAAACCAAAUGUUCUCUACCAUCACCCUAUAUUUUAUGGGAUGGUUACGAAUGAGAGGCCAUGGCCAACACCCAAGAUCAUUAUUUGAUAUUUUACCAUCUGUGGCCAAAUUAAUGUGUCUGGUAUGGAUAUGAUGAUGAAACAUAACAGUGCUAUGUAACAGUCAGAGAUGGAGGAGGACAUGUUGUAAUUAUUAAAUACCUCCAGCUAUUUGGACUAAUCGCUGAGAUUGGGCAGAGUAAUAUUUGUCCCAGAACAUGAGGCGACCAGAGUUUCUGUGUCUUGGACGAGGGACCGGUACGUGUGUGGUAGUGUGAUCAAUCUAUUGUGCAGCACCAGAAUUUGUUGGUGAUCAGAUGAUACUAAUGUUACAUGCUUCCAGCAUAUGAAUUUGUCAUUAUUUGCUGAAGAGAGGAAAGAGGAAGACUCUUAACUGUCAGUAUGGUUUUAAAUAAGGUAUAAUUAGAGAAUAUUAUGUCCAUAUUAAUGUUUAUUAUAUCAUUUUGUUACUCUGAUUAUGGAGAUUCUUUUGUAUGAAAUAAAAUGCUAACAGCUUUAAGUGCUGAAGUACUGCAUAUACAAGGUGAAUCUUUGUCCAUCUUCCAUAAGUUACU
Molecule: long non-coding RNA, 747 nt
Organism: Schistocerca cancellata (South American locust)
Lineage: Eukaryota; Metazoa; Arthropoda; Insecta; Orthoptera; Acrididae
Exons: 5
Source: RefSeq, a predicted model, not a curated record